RNAcentral lists this ribosomal RNA (374 nucleotides) under uncultured organism. RNAcentral's name for it is "partial 16S ribosomal RNA". It matches the Rfam family "Bacterial small subunit ribosomal RNA", at positions 526 to 896 of the family's 1533-position model. The record is from RNAcentral.
GAGGGGGUGCAAGCGUUAUUCGGAAUCAUUGGGCGUAAAGGGUGUGUAGACGGUAUAUUAAGUCAGCUGGUUAAAUUUUCCGGCCUAACCGGAAGCCUGCGGUUGAAACUGGUUUACUAGAGGAUGGAAGAGAGAAGUGGAAUUCUCGGAGUAGCGGUAAAAUGCGUAGAUCUCGAGAGGAACACCAAUGGCGAAGGCAGCUUCUUGGUCCAUUCCUGACGUUGAGACACGAAAGCGUGGGGAGCAAACAGGAUUAGAUACCCUGGUAGUCCACGCCGUAAACGAUGAUCACUAGACGUUAGUUCUGUUUUACAGGAUUAGUGUCGUAGCUAACGCGUUAAGUGAUCCGCCUGGGGAGUACGGUCGCAAGAUUA